GGCUGGUUAGCUCAGUUGAGCAUAGUGCUGAUAACACCAAGGUCAUGGGUUCAAUUCCCAUUCAGUUC
RNAcentral lists this transfer RNA (68 nucleotides) under Apaloderma vittatum (bar-tailed trogon). It matches the Rfam family "tRNA". From Rfam's summary of the family: Transfer RNA (tRNA) molecules are approximately 80 nucleotides in length. Their secondary structure includes four short double-helical elements and three loops (D, anti-codon, and T loops). Lineage: Eukaryota; Metazoa; Chordata; Aves; Trogoniformes; Trogonidae. The record is from Rfam by way of RNAcentral.